Molecule: ribosomal RNA, 910 nt
Filed under: [Exophiala] eucalyptorum
Lineage: Eukaryota; Fungi; Ascomycota; Eurotiomycetes; Chaetothyriales; Herpotrichiellaceae
Description: LSU rRNA
Rfam family: Eukaryotic large subunit ribosomal RNA
Source: RNAcentral
CUAAGCAUAUCAAUAAGCGGAGGAAAAGAAAACAACAGGGAUUGCCUUAGUAACGGCGAGUGAAGCGGCAAAAGCUCAAAUUUGAAAUCUGGCUCUUUCAGAGUCCGAGUUGUAAUUUGUAGAGGAUAUUUCGGACACCGCCCCGGGUUAAAUUUCUUGGAACAGAAUGUCAUAGAGGGUGAGAACCCCGUCUUGACCAGGGUGUAGGAUCCAUGUGAAAUUCCUUCGACGAGUCGAGUUGUUUGGGAAUGCAGCUCUAAAUGGGUGGUAAAUUUCAUCUAAAGCUAAAUAUUGGCCAGAGACCGAUAGCGCACAAGUAGAGUGAUCGAAAGAUGAAAAGCACUUUGAAAAGAGAGUUAAACAGUAUGUGAAAUUGUUGAAAGGGAAGCGCUGGCAACCAGACUUGAGCGCGGCGGUUCCCCCUUGCUUCUGCUUGGGUUAUUCCGUCGUGUCCAGGCCAACAUCGGUUCUAGGGGUCGGUUAAAGGCUCUGGGAAUGUAUCUACCCCUCGGGGUCGACUUAUAGCCCAGGGUGUCAUGCGGCCACCCGGGACCGAGGAACGCGCUUCGGCACGGAUGUUGGCGUAAUGGUUGUCAGCGGCCCGUCUUGAAACACGGACCAAGGAGUCUAACAUCUAUGCGAGUGUUAGGGUGUCAAACCCUUGCGCGGAAUGAAAGUAAACGGAGGUAAGAAGCUUCGGCUGCAUUAUCGACCGAUCCUGAAGUUUACGGAUGGAUUUGAGUAAGAGCAUAGCUGUUGGGACCCGAAAGAUGGUGAACUAUGCGUGAAUAGGGUGAAGCCAGAGGAAACUCUGGUGGAGGCUCGCAGCGGUUCUGACGUGCAAAUCGAUCGUCAAAUUUGCGUAUAGGGGCGAAAGACUAAUCGAACCAUCUGGUAGCUGGUUCCUGCG